This is a long non-coding RNA of Phascolarctos cinereus (koala), 638 nucleotides long. RefSeq lists it as uncharacterized. Lineage: Eukaryota; Metazoa; Chordata; Mammalia; Diprotodontia; Phascolarctidae. The record is from RefSeq and is a predicted model, not a curated record.
UUGGCCUCCUUUGCACCUCUUUGAGAGGUCACUGACCCAGCCUUUUGCCCUGAGCUCUCUUAGCUUAUUUGCCAUUUCAACCUUCAUAAUCCUGGCCACCCCAGGUCAGGCCCUCAUCACUCUCUCCUAGGUCACUGCAGCAGACUCCUGAGUGGACUCCCUGCCUCCAGUCUAUUCUUCACUCUGUUUCCAAAGGAACUUUCAUGAAGCACAGGGAAGACCAGGCCGAACAGCUUGUCCUGUCCAGGGUUCAUGCCCUAAGAAGGUGACUGAAGACGCUGGCUUCCGAAUACUCUAGCCUUUGACUGAAGGAGGCCACCAAGCUGGAUGACCUGGAGCUAUGGCAAAGAGCUAGUGGGAGUGGAGUUGGGAAAGGCCUGAACCACAAAGAUAUUUUGACUUUCCUGUAGGGCCCUGUGAGCCAAUGGGGAGCCAACCUGGAGGACUUCUGAAGGGACACCACUGCCCACAUCAAGGAGCAGGAAAGCAGGGUGCUCUAGCAGAUGUCUGAGUUGCAGAGGGCGACAACACAGUCUCAUAUCAGAGGGUAGAACUUCACAUCUUGAGCAACUACGGUCACCCUGAGUAUACCUGCAUUUACUCAUCUGGGUCCAUGGGAAGUAUGCCAAUUAGCCCCU